RNAcentral lists this transfer RNA (64 nucleotides) under Nepiomorpha sp. NespEL. RNAcentral's name for it is "tRNA-Ile". Lineage: Eukaryota; Metazoa; Arthropoda; Insecta; Psocodea; Elipsocidae. The record is from RNAcentral.
AAUAAAGUGCCUGAAAAAGGAUUACCAUGAUAGGGUAAAUCAUAUACGUUUUGUAUCUUUAUUA